This is a long non-coding RNA of Apis mellifera (honey bee), 1489 nucleotides long. RefSeq lists it as uncharacterized. The record is from RefSeq and is a predicted model, not a curated record. The transcript has 4 exons. Lineage: Eukaryota; Metazoa; Arthropoda; Insecta; Hymenoptera; Apidae.
UUCAAAGAAAAUAUAAAUAUUAAUUUUUAGGUUAAGUAUAUCAAUGAUCACUUCACUAACGUGAAGUUAUUCACUAAGUCGAAUCGAAACGAUUCGGAUGAGAAGCGAUUGGUUUGAGGUUAGAUUUUCACAGUAGAUGGCGCUCAUAGGCAAAAUUAUGCAUCUCGUAGCGACAAAUCCUAGCGUCACGGAUCGUAAACGGAUCAGCGUAAUUUACGAUCACGAACGCAUCUAAUUCCGAUCGCACCUGUUCGAUCAAUAGAACGAUUGAUUUAUCGAAAUCUACGUAAGAGGACAAUGGCACCAACCAACGAUAAUAAACCGUUCCAUUGUUUAAUAGAGGAAAUCGCAUAGGUUAAAAUAAAUUUUUGCACGAAAUGUUCGUUUCAUUAUGGUUAAACUGCUUCCAAGAAAUGAGCUUUCAUCGAAGAACAGAAUAAAAAUAAAAUUCUGGAAUUGUUCAAACACAAAACAUGAAAGAAAGUAUAGUUAGAUGGAUGAUAAUAGCUGAAAUUAGAGCGAUAUCGAAGAACAGAGCUAGAUUAACCUUUGAAAUUUAGAAAUUCACGAAAGUAACGGAAAAUGAGUGGAAGAAGGAAAGUAUCGACAAUUGCAGAAAUCGAGAUAACCACGAUCCUGGCUUCGAAUGCGCAGGAAGCCCGAUAAUAACCGGAAGUGCACCGGGACGAGUCCAUUACCAACCUGUCCUGAAAUGCUGGGCUCGUUUCGCUCGGUCCCUGAAAAUUAGCAACGACUAACGAGCCCCGUUAUCUCCAUACCGAUUUCAUCGUGCGAGAUUCGCAUUUCUCAUUUAAUUUCCUUCUUAAGCUGAAGAUUAAACUCGAAACUCGAAAACUUUGGUUUUCGAAAAAUUUGAAAUUUCUUAUUGUAAAUAUCGGUUAUGUAUAGUUUAAGAAGUAUUGAGGAAAUAAGUUUAUUAAAUUAAAAUUUUAAACAUGAUUAAAAUAUGUAUUUAAUAUGAAUGAUAAUUUGAUCAAUAUAUAGAUUUAUCUUAAUCUAUAAUUGUCUUAAUCAAUAUCAAUAUAAAUUUGUUUUAAAGCUGCGUUAGAUUUAUAGGAUCUUCAAAAACUUGAAAUAUCUUCGAUUCUCGUGAAAUAAGAGCAACAAGUGGCGCAUGGUAUUUAUUAUCCUUCUGUUUGCUCGAAGUUCUUCCAGCUGACUAAUGCGACGCUUCACUACUAGACGAGUCUGUCAGUAGUAAAGGUCGACGCUCUAUCGAACGAUCUGAGUAGUCGCGGUACGCCUCGUGUCAGGCUGCCGCUAGUGAUGGUUAACGUUUUAAGGUCAGCCAGACGACGGCUGAUUGAAAGCUGAAUUAUUGAAAUAGCAACGAUUCAUCUUCGAGCAUGCAGAAUUUAUUCAAAUUGAAAGAGACAUUAAUCCUGUGAAUCGUACAUGGUGAGAAAUUCAUAUUAAAAAUAAAAUAUUACGAGAUUAAUUAUAAAUUAUUAUUAAUAACGAAUAGAAU